This 638-nucleotide long non-coding RNA is filed under the name Gallus gallus (chicken). Its description in RNAcentral is "lncRNA (ENSGALG00010005657.1)". Lineage: Eukaryota; Metazoa; Chordata; Aves; Galliformes; Phasianidae. The record is from RNAcentral.
AUGAAAGACGGAAUGUUACAAUGAAGGAGAGCUUUCACAGAUGGACAGGUGCAUGCAGAACAUGCCUGGCCAUCCCUCAACUGUACACAAAACGUCUGCCAUGUAACCACAUCUGUAGGAUGCUACUCUGGGCUGAUAGAGCCAACUGCUGCAAGGAGACUGCUGCUUGCAGGUUCCCACUGAAGAUAACUGGAGGCAGAACAUCGCUGGCAUCUGGAGAGUCUCAAAACACGGGCAACGUGACUAUCUGCUCCAUUCUAGAGCCUUGCCAUGUCAUCCUUUCAGGAAGUCAAGAUUUUAGAAGAAAAAAACUCACAGCAAUUGACAGAAGAAAAGAACUGGUGCGUGAGCCUUAGCGUCAUCAACGUUCAAGCCAUAUCUACAACAGAAGUCUGUUUCUCUGAGUAACUUCAGCAUGCUGAAAAGAUAAGCAGGUGCUUUGCUGCUUUCAGAAUCUCCUUCAGCUUCCCAGAUCCCAGUUAAUCAGAACAGGAAAGAGAAAACCGAAAAAAAAAAACCAAACCCAAAAUGCCUUACUUGUUGGGGACAAUUCUACAUAACUAAAUACUUUCAAAUUGUGAUGCUAAUUACACAGAUUAAGGAAAGGCUCACCUGUAGUUUUAACUAAAAUAUCAGUG